RNAcentral lists this RNase P RNA (372 nucleotides) under Tannerella sp. RNAcentral describes it as "RNase P RNA component class A". It matches the Rfam family "Bacterial RNase P class A". Rfam says of the family: Ribonuclease P (RNase P) is a ubiquitous endoribonuclease, found in archaea, bacteria and eukarya as well as chloroplasts and mitochondria. Its best characterised activity is the generation of mature 5'-ends of tRNAs by cleaving the 5'-leader elements of precursor-tRNAs. Lineage: Bacteria; Pseudomonadati; Bacteroidota; Bacteroidia; Bacteroidales; Tannerellaceae. The record is from RNAcentral.
GCAGCCGGCCGGUCUGUCGCUCAUCCCCCUGCGGGGACGGGAGGAAAGUCCGGGCAACACAGGGCGCCAUCCUUCUUAACGGGAAGCUAUCCGCGAGGGUAGAGCAGCGUAACAGAAAAGAACCGCCAUGCUCCGGCAUGGUAAGGGUGAAAAGGUGAGGUAAGAGCUUACCGCUUCUGCCGUAAUGCAGGGGGUCAGUACGCCUGAUGGGUUGUAAGGUCAUGUAUACCGACGCAUGUAGGGCGGCCCGCCCGAUGUCGGGGGGUAGACCGCAGAGAAUUUGCCGGCGACGGCAAAUCCAGAUAAAUGACAGACGCAUCCGCGUUGAAAGGCGGGGAUGUACAGAACCCGGCUUACAGGCCGGCUGCCUCU